UGGGGAAUUUUGGACAAUGGGCGAAAGCCUGAUCCAGCAAUGCCGCGUGUGUGAGGAAGGCCUUCGGGUUGUAAAGCACUUUUGUCCGGAAAGAAAUCCUUGGCUCUAAUACAGUCGGGGGAUGACGGUACCGGAAGAAUAAGCACCGGCUAACUACGUGCCAGCAGCCGCGGUAAUACGUAGGGUGCAAGCGUUAAUCGGAAUUACUGGGCGUAAAGCGUGCGCAGGCGGUUUGCUAAGACCGAUGUGAAAUCCCCGGGCUCAACCUGGGAACUGCAUUGGUGACUGGCAGGCUAGAGUAUGGCAGAGGGGGGUAGAAUUCCACGUGUAGCAGUGAAAUGCGUAGAGAUGUGGAGGAAUACCGAUGGCGAAGGCAGCCCCCUGGGCCAAUACUGACGCUCAUGCACGAAAGCGUGGGGAGCAAACAGGAUUAGAUACCCUGGUAGUCCACGCCCUAAACGAUGUCAACUAGUUGUUGGGGAUUCAUUUCCUUAGUAACGUAGCUAACGCGUGAAGUUGACCGCCUGGGGAGUACGGUCGCAAGAUUAAAACUCAAAUGAAUUGACGGGGUCAUAGCUGUUUCCU
This 585-nucleotide ribosomal RNA is filed under the name uncultured bacterium. Its description in RNAcentral is "partial 16S ribosomal RNA". It matches the Rfam family "Bacterial small subunit ribosomal RNA", at positions 355 to 1375 of the family's 1533-position model. The record is from RNAcentral.